Molecule: non-coding RNA, 1040 nt
Organism: Phascolarctos cinereus (koala)
Lineage: Eukaryota; Metazoa; Chordata; Mammalia; Diprotodontia; Phascolarctidae
Source: RefSeq, a predicted model, not a curated record
UAAUAAAUGCUUAUUUAACUAAAUUGAGUUUGACCUAAGAUAGUCAAGUAGAAGAAAUGGCUGACAGUUUAUGAAACAUUAUUAUUUUACUCACACCAAAAGAGCUAUUUGUAGAGUUUAUUAAUAGCUGUGUUUUGUCCAAAUGUAGACCAAAUUCCUGUAGAACCCGUCUGCCCAUCCUACAACAUUAUGGUCUGUCCCAGUGAUUUAUGUAUGUCUUUCACCUCAGCAUAAUUCUGAUGGUACAAUCAACAACAUCCUCUGCUACCAUCUCACUCUUAUAAACAUCUUUGCUGUCUCUAGAUAUCCUGGUACUAAACAUUCCUAGCUAAUGGGACUUGCCUAAUUCUGAUUCCUAAAUAGGGUUUCCAAAAUUACUAUUCAGUCAGAUUUUAGAAACCACAGGACUCUAAUUGCAGAAAGAUGGUCCCUUUUGAACUUUAUUCAGUGUACCCUUUAUCUCCUGAGGACCGGGUUGGGGUAGAGAAUGUGUAAUAGUAGAUAUGUCUUAGCAUAUACCAAAAUAAAGGUUUUUUAGGCUUUUUCUGAUGUUGAAUAUGUCAUUAGUAUCAUAGAACCUUGGAACUAGAAGGAACGUUAGAAUAAUCUAAGCCAACUCCUUCAUUUUACAAAUGAGGAAAGUGAAGUACCUAGAGAGGUGAAGGCAGUUGCCCAAGAUCACAUGUAAUUCAAAAACAGAAAGGACCUUUGAGGUCUUCUAGUCCAGACUGCUUAUUUAUGAACAUGAUGAAACUGAAACAUAAAGAAGUUACAUGAUUUGCCCAAAGUAACACAAUGAAUUGUCCUGUCUUUGUUCCCACUAUGACACUGGCCAUGACCAGUUAUGACAUAGUCAUAGCUAAAGACCAGUUCUCCAGGGCUCCCAGUUCAGUGGUUUUAGGGCAGAUUCUUUCAGUAAAUGUCUUUCUAUCUAUUUCAAAUCCACGUGGCUUUUCAUGUUUGCAGCUCAGAAGAUUUUGUGGAGCCCUUUCUGAGGAGGAAAAAGCAGGACCUCCAUCAAGAGUAAUAACGAAACUAAG